Molecule: ribosomal RNA, 696 nt
Filed under: Bacillus mycoides
Lineage: Bacteria; Bacillati; Bacillota; Bacilli; Caryophanales; Bacillaceae
Description: bacterial SSU rRNA
Rfam family: Bacterial small subunit ribosomal RNA
Source: RNAcentral
ACGGGUGAGUUACAUCUGGGUAACCUGCCCAUAAGACUGGGAUAACUCCGGGAAACCGGGGCUAAUACCGGAUAACAUUUUGCACCGCAUGGUGCGAAAUUGAAAGGCGGCUUCGGCUGUCACUUAUGGAUGGACCCGCGUCGCAUUAGCUAGUUGGUGAGGUAACGGCUCACCAAGGCAACGAUGCGUAGCCGACCUGAGAGGGGAUCGGCCACACUGGGACUGAGACACGGCCCCACACUUAUACGGGAGGCAGCAGUAGGGAAUCUUCCGCAAUGGACGAAAGUCUGACGGAGCAACGCCGCGUGAGUGAUGAAGGCUUUCGGGUCGUAAAACUCUGUUGUUAGGGAAGAACAAGUGCUAGUUGAAUAAGCUGGCACCUUGACGGUACCUAACCAGAAAGCCACGGCUAACUACGUGCCAGCAGCCGCGGUAAUACGUAGGUGGCAAGCGUUAUCCGGAAUUAUUGGGCGUAAAGCGCGCGCAGGUGGUUUCUUAAGUCUGAUGUGAAAGCCCACGGCUCAACCGUGGAGGGUCAUUGGAAACUGGGAGACUUGAGUGCAGAAGAGGAAAGUGGAAUUCCAUGUGUAGCGGUGAAAUGCGUAGAGAUAUGGAGGAACACCAGUGGCGAAAGCGACUUUCUGGUCUGUAACUGACACUGAGGCGCGAAAGCGUGGGGAGCAAACAGGAUUAGAU